UCGGACUGCAGGCUGAAACUCGCCUGCACGAAGUUGGAAUUGCUAGUAAUCGCGGAUCAGCAUGCCGCGGUGAAUACGUUCCCGGGUCUUGUACACACCGCCCGUCACACCAUGGGAGCUGGUAACACCCGAAGUCAGUAGUCUAACCGCAAGGAGGACGCUGCCGAAGGUGGGAUUAGCGACUGGGGUGAAGUCGUAACAAGGUAUC
RNAcentral lists this ribosomal RNA (208 nucleotides) under uncultured bacterium. RNAcentral's name for it is "partial 16S ribosomal RNA". It matches the Rfam family "Bacterial small subunit ribosomal RNA", at positions 1293 to 1500 of the family's 1533-position model. The record is from RNAcentral.